RNAcentral lists this ribosomal RNA (468 nucleotides) under uncultured bacterium. Its description in RNAcentral is "partial 16S ribosomal RNA". It matches the Rfam family "Bacterial small subunit ribosomal RNA", at positions 28 to 507 of the family's 1533-position model. The record is from RNAcentral.
GACGAACGCUGGCGGCGUGCUUAACACAUGCAAGUCGAACGGAAAGGCCCUGCUUUUGUGGGGUGCUCGAGUGGCGAACGGGUGAGUAACACGUGAGUAACCUGCCCUUGACUUUGGGAUAACUUCAGGAAACUGGGGCUAAUACCGGAUAGGAGCUCCUGCUGCAUGGUGGGGGUUGGAAAGUUUCGGCGGUUGGGGAUGGACUCGCGGCUUAUCAGCUUGUUGGUGGGGUAGUGGCUUACCAAGGCUUUGACGGGUAGCCGGCCUGAGAGGGUGACCGGCCACAUUGGGACUGGGAUACCGCCCAGACUCCUACGGGAGGCAGCAGGGGGGAAUAUUGCACAAUGGGCGGAAGCCUGAUGCAGCAACGCCGCGGGCGGGAUGACGGCCUUCGGGGUGUAAACCGCUUUCGCCUGUGACGAAGCGUGAGUGACGGUAAUGGGUUAAGAAGCACCGGCUAACUUCGUG